RNAcentral lists this ribosomal RNA (497 nucleotides) under uncultured bacterium. Its description in RNAcentral is "partial 16S ribosomal RNA". It matches the Rfam family "Bacterial small subunit ribosomal RNA", at positions 28 to 507 of the family's 1533-position model. The record is from RNAcentral.
GAUGAACGCUGGCGGCGUGCCUAAUACAUGCAAGUCGAGCGAACAGACGAGGAGCUUGCUCCUCGGACGUUAGCGGCGGACGGGUGAGUAACACGUGGAUAACCUACCUAUAAGACUGGGAUAACUUCGGGAAACCGGAGCUAAUACCGGAUAAUAUAUUGAACCGCAUGGUUCAAUAGUGAAAGACGGUUUUGCUGUCACUUAUAGAUGGAUCCGCGCCGGAUUAGCUAGUUGGUAAGGUAACGGCUUACCAAGGCAACGAUGCGUAGCCGAACUGAGAGGGUGAUAGGCGACCCUGGAACUGAGACACGGUCCAGACUACUACGGGAGGCAGCAGUAGGGAAUCUUCCGCAGUGGGCGAAAGCAUGACGGAGCAACGCCGAGUGAGUGAUGAAGGUCUUCGGAUCGUAAAACUCUGUUAUUAGGGAAGAACAACUGUGUACGUAACUAUGCCCGUCUUGACGGUACCUAAUCAGAAAGCCACGGCUAACUACGUG